GAUGAACGCUGGCGGCGUGCUUAACACAUGCAAGUCGAACGGAAAGGCUCCUGCUUGCAGGGGUACUCGAGUGGCGAACGGGUGAGUAACACGUGGGUGAUCUGCCCUGCACUUCGGGAUAAGCCUGGGAAACUGGGUCUAAUACCGGAUAGGACGAUGGUUUGGAUGCCAUUGUGGAAAGUUUUUUCGGUGUGGGAUGAGCUCGCGGCCUAUCAGCUUGUUGGUGGGGUAAUGGCCUACCAAGGCGUCGACGGGUAGCCGGCCUGAGAGGGUGUACGGCCACAUUGGGACUGAGAUACGGCCCAGACUCCUACGGGAGGCAGCAGUGGGGAAUAUUGCACAAUGGGCGCAAGCCUGAUGCAGCGACGCCGCGUGGGGGAUGACGGCCUUCGGGUUGUAAACUCCUAUCGCUAGGGACGAAGCGCAAGUGACGGUACCUGGAGAAGAAGCACCGGCUAACUACGUG
Molecule: ribosomal RNA, 466 nt
Filed under: uncultured bacterium
Lineage: Bacteria
Description: partial 16S ribosomal RNA
Rfam family: Bacterial small subunit ribosomal RNA
Source: RNAcentral